CCUACGGGUGGCAGCAGUGGGGGAUAUUGCACAAUGGGGGAAACCCUGAUGCAGCGACGCCGCGUGAGUGAAGAAGUAUUUCGGUAUGUAAAGCUCUAUCAGCAGGGAAGAAAAUGACAGUACCUGACCAAGAAGCCCCGGCUAACUACGUGCCAGUAGCCGCGGUAAUACGUAGGGGGCAAGCGUUAUCCGGAUGUACUGGGUGUAAAGGGAGCGUAGACGGUUAUGUAAGUCUGGAGGGAAAGCCCGGGGCCCAACCCCGGGACUGCUUUGGAAACGGGGUAACGGGAGUACAGGAGGGGCAGGCGGAAUGCCUGGUGUAGCGGUGAAAGGCGUAGAUAUCAGGAGGAACACCGGCGGCGAAGGCGGCCUGCUGGACUGAAACUGACGUUGAGGCUCGAAAGCGUGGGGAGCAAACAGGAGUAGAUACCCUUGUAGGG
Molecule: ribosomal RNA, 440 nt
Filed under: uncultured bacterium
Lineage: Bacteria
Description: partial 16S ribosomal RNA
Rfam family: Bacterial small subunit ribosomal RNA
Source: RNAcentral